RNAcentral lists this ribosomal RNA (243 nucleotides) under Triticum aestivum (bread wheat). RNAcentral describes it as "partial small subunit ribosomal RNA". Lineage: Eukaryota; Viridiplantae; Streptophyta; Magnoliopsida; Poales; Poaceae. The record is from RNAcentral.
AUGUCGUACACAUCCACGGAGAUGGUGUGCUGGAACAUUAGGGGGCUCAACAGCCCUGCAAGGAGGAAAACUCUUAGGGAGUUUGUAGCCACGUUGCGAGCCGCCAUCGUAUGUAUCCUGGAGACAAAACUAGAGAGGGUGGAUAAAUACACCAUAAUGCAAUGUCUUGGACCCUCUUAUGAUGGGUUUAUGUACCUACCGGCGUCUGACACGAGAGGAGGCCUCUUCGUGGGAUGGGACUCC